AAAAGAAGACAUUCUAAAACAUGUUGAAAACCUGUAACCAUUGACCUCCAUAGUAUUUGUUGUUCCCACUACGGAAGUCAAUGAUUACAGGUUUUCA
This 97-nucleotide microRNA precursor is filed under the name Danio rerio (zebrafish). RNAcentral's name for it is "miRNA (ENSDARG00000107337.2)". Lineage: Eukaryota; Metazoa; Chordata; Actinopteri; Cypriniformes; Danionidae. The record is from RNAcentral.